RNAcentral lists this ribosomal RNA (500 nucleotides) under uncultured eukaryote. RNAcentral's name for it is "SSU rRNA". It matches the Rfam family "Eukaryotic small subunit ribosomal RNA", at positions 30 to 537 of the family's 1831-position model. The record is from RNAcentral.
GCUGUUCAGAUUAGCCAUGCAUGCCUCAGUAUAAGCUUCUAUACGGCGAAACUGCGAAUGGCUCAUUAAAACAGUUAUAGUUUAUUUGGUGGUCAGCAAUUACAUGGAUAACCGUGGUAAUUCUAGAGCUAAUACAUGCGCCCAAACCCGACUUCGUGGAAGGGUUGUGUUUAUUAGAUACAGAACCAACCCAGGCUCCGCCUGGCCUUGAGGUGAUUCAUAAUAACCGAACGAAUCGCAUGGCUAUGCCGGCGAUAGACCAUUCAAGUUUCUGACCUAUCAGCUAUCGUCGGUAGGGUAUUGGCCUACCGUGGCAAUGACGGGUAACGGAGAAUUAGGGUUCGAUUCCGGAGAGGGAGCCUGAGAAACGGCUACCACAUCUAAGGAAGGCAGCAGGCGCGCAAAUUACCCAAUCCUGACGCAGGGAGGUAGUGACAAGAAAUAACAAUACAGGGCAUACAUGUCUUGUAAUUGGAAUGAGUAAACUUUAAAUCACUUUA